Molecule: ribosomal RNA, 664 nt
Filed under: uncultured bacterium
Lineage: Bacteria
Description: bacterial SSU rRNA
Rfam family: Bacterial small subunit ribosomal RNA
Source: RNAcentral
AGGGUCCGUAGGCGGUUUGAUAAGUCAGUGGUGAAAGCCCAUCGCUCAACGAUGGAACGGCCAUUGAUACUGUCAGACUUGAAUUAUUAGGAAGUAACUAGAAUAUGUAGUGUAGCGGUGAAAUGCUUAGAGAUUACAUGGAAUACCAAUUGCGAAGGCAGGUUACUACUAAUAUAUUGACGCUGAUGGACGAAAGCGUGGGUAGCGAACAGGAUUAGAUACCCCGGUAGUCCACGCCGUAAACGAUGGAUACUAGCUGUUGGGAGUAAUCUCAGUGGCUAAGCGAAAGUGAUAAGUAUCCCACCUGGGGAGUACGUUCGCAAGAAUGAAACUCAAAGGAAUUGACGGGGGCCCGCACAAGCGGUGGAGCAUGUGGUUUAAUUCGAUGAUACGCGAGGAACCUUACCAAGGCUUAAAUGUAGUUUGACCGGUUUGGAAACAGAUCUUUCGCAAGACAAAUUACAAGGUGCUGCAUGGUUGUCGUCAGCUCGUGCCGUGAGGUGUCAGGUUAAGUCCUAUAACGAGCGCAACCCCUGUUGUUAGUUGCCAGCGAGUCAUGUCGGGAACUCUAACGAGACUGCCAGUGCAAACUGUGAGGAAGGUGGGGAUGACGUCAAAUCAUCACGGCCCUUACGCCUUGGGCUACACACGUGCUACAAUGGAC